GAUGAACGCUGGCGGCGUGCCUAAUACAUGCAAGUCGAGCGAACAGACGAGGAGCUUGCUCCUCUGACGUUAGCGGCGGACGGGUGAGUAACACGUGGAUAACCUACCUAUAAGACUGGGAUAACUUCGGGAAACCGGAGCUAAUACCGGAUAAUAUAUUGAACCGCAUGGUUCAAUAGUGAAAGACGGUUUUGCUGUCACUUAUAGAUGGAUCCGCGCCGCAUUAGCUAGUUGGUAAGGUAACGGCUUACCAAGGCGACGAUGCGUAGCCGACCUGAGAGGGUGAUCGGCCACACUGGAACUGAGACACGGUCCAGACUCCUACGGGAGGCAGCAGUAGGGAAUCUUCCGCAAUGGGCGAAAGCUUGACGGAGCAACGCCGCGUGAGUGAUGUAGGUCUUCGGAUCGUAAAACUCUGUUAUUAGGGAAGAACAAAUGUGUAAGUAACUAUGCACGUCUUGACGGUACCUAAUCAGAAAGCCACGGCUAACUACGUG
Molecule: ribosomal RNA, 497 nt
Filed under: uncultured bacterium
Lineage: Bacteria
Description: partial 16S ribosomal RNA
Rfam family: Bacterial small subunit ribosomal RNA
Source: RNAcentral